Molecule: long non-coding RNA, 606 nt
Filed under: Vigna radiata
Lineage: Eukaryota; Viridiplantae; Streptophyta; Magnoliopsida; Fabales; Fabaceae
Description: long non-coding RNA (VRAD_LNC007507)
Source: RNAcentral
GCCGGAACUAUCGAAGAUGUUAGGGUGCAACGAGACAAAGGUUUUGGGUUUGUGAGGUACAGUACCCAUGCUGAAGCAGCUCUUGCUAUACAGAUGGGUAAUGCUCGAAUUCUCUUUGGCAAACCUGUAAAGGUAUGUUGCUAAUUAGCAGGAUAUUUGUAUGUUGAAUUCUAGUAUGUUAGCUGUGUAUUAUUAAUGGCUUUUCGUACGGCAAAUAUUCUUCGAUGGGGGUUCCAAUGGAAAAAAGUAGUGUCUGCAUAAUUGAACUCGUAUUUGAUGUCAUCUGUGAUUCUUUUUUUUUUUUUUUAAUUAUCUAAAAGGCCUACAACUUAUUUAUAUUUCUCAGAAGUCAGAACAGAAUCCCUUGUUCCCUAAGAUUCUCAACCAUAUAUAAUUUGAUCUUCGAACUCAUAUGAGAAGGCUCUGGAAAUGUAUCUACUCAUGUCAAUUGAUAUUUUACAGUGUUCAUGGGGUAGCAAACCUACUCCUCCAGGAACUGCCUCUACUCCUCUUCCGCCUCCUACUUCUGCAAAUGUGCCUGGUUUUUCUCUUGCUAGUCUUGCAGCAUAUGAACGCCAAAUGGCUUUGAGUAAAAUGGGUGGUGCA